RNAcentral lists this ribosomal RNA (494 nucleotides) under uncultured bacterium. RNAcentral's name for it is "partial 16S ribosomal RNA". It matches the Rfam family "Bacterial small subunit ribosomal RNA", at positions 30 to 507 of the family's 1533-position model. The record is from RNAcentral.
UGAACGCUGGCGGCGUGCCUAAUACAUGCAAGUCGAGCGAACAGACGAGGAGCUUGCUCCUCUGACGUAGCGGCGGACGGGUGAGUAACACGUGGAUAACCUACCUAUAAGACUGGGAUAACUUCGGGAAACCGGAGCUAAUACCGGAUAAUAUAUUGAACCGCAUGGUUCAAUAGUGAAAGAAGGGUUUGCUGUCACUUAUAGAUGGAUCCGCGCCGCAUUAGCUAGUUGGUAAGGUAACGGCUUACCAAGGCAACGAUGCGUAGCCGACCUGAGAGGGUGAUCGGCCACACUGGAACUGAGACACGGUCCAGACUCCUACGGGAGGCAGCAGUAGGGAAUCUUCCGCAAUGGGCGAAAGCUUGACGGAGCAACGCCGCGUGAGUGAUGAAGGUCUUCGGAUCGUAAAACUCUGUUAUUAGGGAAGAACAAAUGUGUAAGUAACUAUGCACGUCUUGACGGUACCUAAUCAGAAAGCCACGGCUAACUACGUG